GAAAUGACAUGUAAACACAAGUGACAAUAACAAAUAAUCUAAUCAUUAAUGGACAACACAAGUUUUAUUGAGCAUGGCAUACCACAAAGGUAGCCGAACACACAACUGGGCAAAAGCACUUAACAACAUGAUGGCAACCCACUGGAUAUUGAAUCCAGCUAUGGGCACCUGGAAUAACAAUCCUGUCCCAUGUAGGCAUACAUUCAGCAGAAAAGCAACAGUGGCCAAAAUUUAUGCUAACAAGCACAUGGAUUGAAAGACAGAACAUGACUAUAAAACCAAUACAAAAAAUAACACAACAUAUAAAUACCAUAAAACAAACAACAUCAACAAACUGGACAGAUUUACCAUCUAUGCCAAGCCACUUGUUUCAUGAAUGGCUACCUCCCAGCUGAAUAUAAUUGCUGAAUGCUCAACAGGGGUCACAACAGCCAUAACCAUGUGUGCACACCCAAAUAUUCAUAGAUCCCUUGGGCCCAGGGUGAGAAACCUGCCAUCAAGGAAGGCUAUCCAAAGAUGGCAACAAACUUUAUUGAACAAAUCAUCAUACAACAAUCAAUAUGUAUAGUACAACAAGUACACAUAUGGCCAUAAAAUCAUCAAACAUAAUAUCUAUAAGUAUUGGCCAAAAAUUUCUUACCAAAAUUAGGAAAACGAUACAAAAAACUUGUAGUUGGGAAAAGCUGGUAAAUUCCUGUGCAUGACAAUUAACGUAAAAGCGAGAGAGCCUUCAAGAUCGCCC
Non-coding RNA from Paramuricea clavata, 742 nucleotides. The record is from the annotation of a GenBank genome assembly. NCBI's taxonomy places the organism in Eukaryota, Metazoa, Cnidaria, Anthozoa, Malacalcyonacea, Plexauridae.